This 440-nucleotide ribosomal RNA is filed under the name uncultured bacterium. Its description in RNAcentral is "partial 16S ribosomal RNA". It matches the Rfam family "Bacterial small subunit ribosomal RNA", at positions 339 to 795 of the family's 1533-position model. The record is from RNAcentral.
CUACGGGCGGCUACAGUGAGGAAUAUUGCACAAUGGGGGGAACCCUGAUGCAGCAACGCCGCGUGGAGGAUGACGCAUUUCGGUGUGUAAACUCCUUUUAUAUGUCAAGAAAAUGACGGUAGCAUAUGAAUAAGCACCGGCUAACUCCGUGCCAGCAGGCCGCGGUAAUACGGAGGGUGCAAGCGUUACUCGGAAUCACUGGGCGUAAAGGACGCGUAGGCGGGUUGGAAAGUCAGGUGUGAAAUCCUACAGCUUAACUGUAGAACUGCACUUGAAACUUCUAAUCUAGAGUAUGGGAGGGGGAGAUGGAAUUAGUGGUGUAGGGGUAAAAUCCGUAGAUAUCACUAGGAAUACCUAAAGCGAAGGCGAUCUCCUGGAACAUUACUGACGCUAAGGCGUGAAAGCGUGGGGAGCAAACAGGAUUAGAUACCCGCGUAGUC